This 362-nucleotide ribosomal RNA is filed under the name uncultured bacterium. RNAcentral describes it as "partial 16S ribosomal RNA". It matches the Rfam family "Bacterial small subunit ribosomal RNA", at positions 338 to 698 of the family's 1533-position model. The record is from RNAcentral.
CCUACGGGUGGCAGCAGUGAGGAAUAUUGGUCAAUGGGAGAGAUCCUGAACCAGCCAAGCCGCGUGAGGGAAGACGGCCCUAUGGGUUGUAAACCUCUUUUGUCGGAGAACAAAACCCGGGACGUGUCCCGGAAUGCGUGUAUCCGAAGAAAAAGCACCGGCUAACUCCGUGCCAGCAGCCGCGGUAAUACGGAGGAUGCGAGCGUUAUCCGGAUUUAUUGGGUUUAAUGGGUGCGUAGGCGGUCCGUUAAGUCAGCGGUAAAAUUGCGGGGCUCAACCCCGUCGAGCCGUGGAAACUGGCAGACUUGAGUGGGCGAGAAGUACGCGGAAUGCGCGGUGUAGCGGUGAAAGGCAUAGAUAGC